CUGUAUCCAGGGAUGAGAAAGAUCAAAGUCUGCAGCGUUCAUGAUGCUUCCUGAGAGUAUUCUGGUCCACUAGCAUUGCAUCGAUGGUCAGGAUGUUUGCUCUAAGAAGCAGCAGCUACCCUAAUCAUUAAAUAGUGGAACACAAACUUCUGCAGCGUAGAAGGAAUAACAGAAGAGCAGAUUAAGCAAAAGCAAGCUGUAAUAAGGGCAAGUUCUGCUUGAGAGGGGACAGGAAACCAUUGGUUGCUUGUCAAGGGCAAGGUCAGAGACAGCAAAAGAGAGUGAAGUAUAGAGGAUGAACUAAGUACUAAAGCACACUUUAAAGUGCUCUUUAAAAAAACACAAACAAGAAAAGUUACCCAAGAGACUAAUAUAAAGAGGAAUGGGAGGCAAACCCCCCAACAAUGCAUUGACUUUUUCCUCCAGAAAAGCUUCUAAGGAACAAUAGAGAAGAACCAGCAAUCCUCAAAAUAUCACUCUAAAAGUGUUUGUUAUUGUAAAGGGUUUCAGAGACUGUAAAAAUGCUUUUC
Rhineura floridana is the source of this 530-nucleotide long non-coding RNA. RefSeq lists it as uncharacterized. Lineage: Eukaryota; Metazoa; Chordata; Lepidosauria; Squamata; Rhineuridae. The record is from RefSeq and is a predicted model, not a curated record. The transcript has 3 exons.